RNAcentral lists this ribosomal RNA (475 nucleotides) under uncultured bacterium. Its description in RNAcentral is "bacterial SSU rRNA". It matches the Rfam family "Bacterial small subunit ribosomal RNA", at positions 791 to 1276 of the family's 1533-position model. The record is from RNAcentral.
UAGUCCAAACCGUAAAUGAUGCACGCUAGAUGUAUCCUGCAAUUAGGUGGGAUGUGUCGUAAGCUAACGCGUUAAGCGUGUCGCCUGAGUAGUAUAGUCGCAAGACUGAAACUCAAAGGGAUAGGCGGGGGAACACACAAGCAGAGGAUUGCCUCGAUUAAUUGGAUAAUAAGCCAAGAAUCUUACCUAGGCUUGACAUCUCGAGAACUCUAUCGAAAGACUGAGGUGCCCUUCGGGGAACUCGAUGACAGGUGCUGCAUGGCCGUCGUCAGCUCGUGCCGCAAGGUGUCCGGUUAAGUCCGGAAACAAGCGCAACCCUCGUCGCUAGUUAGAAUGUCUAGCGAGACUGCCUCGGUAACGAGGAGGAAGGAGAGGGAUGACGUCAGGGUCACUAUGGCCCUUAUGCCUAGGGGCGUCAGAGACAAUACAAUGGGUAUACAGCAGGUAGCGAAACCGUGAGGUCAAGCCAAUCCCC